GACAAAAAUUUUAAACUUAACAAGGAAACUUCAAAAGCAGUACUUUGCCACAACUACUUAUACAAUAAUUGAAGUUAUACAAAUUUUACAAGGAUUUAAGGAAGAAGACGGUGGUUUAUAAAAGAGCUAUUAGUGGAUAGUGUGUUGACUUUUAAUGAUUGGAAAUCAGGUUAUUAAAAGAUAUAUUGAAGAUAUGUUAUUA
Papilio machaon (common yellow swallowtail) is the source of this 202-nucleotide long non-coding RNA. RefSeq lists it as uncharacterized. The transcript has 3 exons. NCBI's taxonomy places the organism in Eukaryota, Metazoa, Arthropoda, Insecta, Lepidoptera, Papilionidae. The record is from RefSeq and is a predicted model, not a curated record.